RNAcentral lists this ribosomal RNA (253 nucleotides) under uncultured bacterium. RNAcentral's name for it is "partial 16S ribosomal RNA". It matches the Rfam family "Bacterial small subunit ribosomal RNA", at positions 524 to 776 of the family's 1533-position model. The record is from RNAcentral.
UACGGGGGGGGCAAGCGUUGUUCGGAAUUACUGGGCGUAAAGGGCUCGUAGGCGGCCAACUAAGUCAGACGUGAAAUCCCCAGGCUCAACCUGGGAACUGCGUCUGAUACUGGAUGGCUUGAGUUUGGGAGAGGGAUGCGGAAUUCCAGGUGUAGCGGUGAAAUGCGUAGAUAUCUGGAGGAACACCGGUGGCGAAGGCGGCAUCCUGGACCGACACUGACACUGAGGAGCGAAAGCCAGGGGAGCAAACGGG